Molecule: long non-coding RNA, 508 nt
Organism: Vombatus ursinus (common wombat)
Lineage: Eukaryota; Metazoa; Chordata; Mammalia; Diprotodontia; Vombatidae
Exons: 3
Source: RefSeq, a predicted model, not a curated record
GAGCUGCUGUUUCUUCAUCUACAAAAUGGAGAGGAUAGCUUAUCCCUGCCCAACAAGGAAUGGAGUCUAAGACCGAAAGAGAAAAGCUAAAAUGAGGUGGGUUGUGAUUUUCCCAGAGAGAGAAUCUUGGUAAAGGCAAAAGCCAUAAAGACAUCAUAGAGAAAAGAAUCUUGUUGAAUGCUUAGCCUUCAAGACUGACCCUGGAUCCGUGUCAGCUUAGCCCUCUGGUUCUGGGUAACUGAUUUCAGACUUGACAACCAUCAACACAAACAUUUCCAUAUGCAACAAACAAACAGAAUAGAAGGAUUUUCUUUGGAAUCAUGAAUCUAUAUUACAUACAGAUUGUUACUUUUUAAAAGUAGAUAUUAGAUUUAACAUGGUAAUAUUAAUGUUGCCCUCCUUAUCUGUGUCCCCCUUUGGAAAUUUCUUUUGUUGUCUUACGUGUAUUUUUAAAAUGUUUCAUGAAGUCUCUUCCUCUCUUCCCCUCCCUUCUCCUCCCUUCUCCCCU